UCUUACAAAAUAAAAAAUCUAUACCCAUAUCCAAGCAACUAAUUAAUCUAAUGAAUCUUAUAAAAAAAUAAGCCAAACAUGUUACUUAUCUACUUUGUGAAUAACAUUGCUAUAGUGUCUAAUAUUACUGAAGUUAUUUCCUCAUUUGUCAUGCAACUUCCGUCAACGUUUACACUACCCAAUACCCAUCUAGUGGCUCUUACAAUGUCAUCACCUAUUUGAGCUAAUUAAUCUCUUUGUGUUCCAAAUAUGGUAGUUUCAAUGACAUUGUUCUUUGUGCUGUGGUGAGGACUUCAAUCACAUAAGUAGCUACAUCUCUUGAUUCCAACUUUUGAUAUCAAGGAUCUUGCAUAGAAUCACCUUCGCUUCAAGUAUAGGAAUAAAACGAGGUCUUUGAGGGGCCACAACCUAGAUCCAAUUCUAAAAAUUAAAAAAAAUAAAAAUAAAAAAAAUCACAUUUUUGUUGGUCAUCCUCGACCAAUAUUCUUUGACAUGUCUUCACCUUUUACAUAUCCUUCGUAGUCACGAUUCAUAAACCAACAUUCUUGAAAUCACAACAUUGAACAUGUGGUAUGUUAACUCAAGCAUACUAUCAAUAAUGGUUUGUUCCUCGAGGACAUUUACAUGCCUUCUCAUACAUCAAUUGGACUCAUAAUCUAGAUAAUCGAAUUUCAACCAAUAGAUUUUCUCAUGUGAAGCUCAUGACUUUUUUAAGCUUCUAGAUGAGCAUUAUGAAUUUUUAUCAGCUAUAACAAUACCGACCCCAAAACAUACAUUUGCUGAUCCAAACCCAGUGUUAUACUCUCCAAAGCAACAACUUGCAAUUGAUUUUCAUUUCAUUCAUCACGGAGUAGUAGCUUGACAACUUUAUUUUUCUCACAUAUCUAACAAAAAACCAAAUUGUUGAUUUCCUUAGGACCAUUCUACACGUACAGGAAAAAUGUAUACCGAUAUUUUACAGAAUACACACAACAGCGGGGUCCACCAAAAUAAAAUAUUCACAUGGGGCACCCCAUGUGAGGGCCAUGUGGAAUUUCUGUGAGAUUAUUCCCCAUACAUAGGGAAUAAUUCAUUUCCUUAUGAACUUUGCUUGGUCUUAAAAUAUUGCUACCAAUGGAAACACUGUGUUGCAAUGCAGGUAAGAAAACAAUCCUCACAAUCUCAAAAUAUCUAGUCAACCAAAUCAAACUCCUUGAUUCAAGCUUCUUCAAAUAUACCUCAACAACAAAUUAUGAUUGUAAUACUAUCUUAAUUAAAAUUACGAUUGUUCUAUCUUAAUUCCCUUUAUCUUCUCCUAUAGUUUAGGUAACUUUGGUGCAAAAUCACUUUACCUUCUGUUAUAGUUUAGGAUAAGUUAAUUAAGAAUACAUAAUUUUCUUUGAAUCUCUAAAUGCAUAAUGUGAUCCAUUAUUCUACAAUUCUCAUUUUGUCUCAAUAUAAUGGCAAGGAAACAUGAGUAGAUAUGUGGGCCUAAGCCAGUUGACAUGAAACGGAUGUUUCCUUUAACUUGAGAUGAUGGAUGGAUUCAAAUAAAAAAUGUAGUCUUGCAAUUGUUUUCUGACCAACUAAGUUAAUGGAUGAAUAGAAAAAUGAGUUGAAGAGUUGGAUUACUAGCAUAUCCUGUCUUUUGGUUCCUUAAGAAUGCCAAAAGCUAGAAGAUUCAUAGCCUAUUAUAUUGUUUAGCUUAACUGGAUUUGAGUGCUACAGCUUGAUAAAAGGACAACUACACCUGUAUACAAAACCAUGGAAAGUAUUACAGAUUUGUGAAUAUAUUGGGUUUGGCUACUUUACCCAAAGGGUCUAAAUUUCUUUAUGAGAAAAAUGCGUACACAGAUAGGCACAAUCAAUACAUAUACUGAUCCGAUAGAAAGAGAGGAAUAAGAACUGUGGAAGAUGAGAAUUCUUGCUAUAACUUACAUGUGCAUAUUUUGCAAUCUGAUACGUUUCCUUUGAAGAAU
This 1958-nucleotide long non-coding RNA is filed under the name Olea europaea (common olive). RNAcentral's name for it is "long non-coding RNA (OEUR_LNC003669)". The record is from RNAcentral. Lineage: Eukaryota; Viridiplantae; Streptophyta; Magnoliopsida; Lamiales; Oleaceae.